AACAUCGCGCACCUGCGGGAACCUGCGGAGGGAUCAUUACCAGGAAACGGUGCCCUUGUGGCCCGAUUCUCUCACCACUGUUUACCAAACGUUUCGUUGCCUCGGGGGCUCCCUGUCAGCCGCCUUACGGCGGUUGGCAUACCCCCCGAGGACGCUUCAAAAACCGUUUCGUUCGAAGAACGUCUGAUUUUACCUUCGCGAAUGCGAUAAAUACAACUUUCAACAACGGAUCUCAGAUCG
RNAcentral lists this unclassified non-coding RNA (240 nucleotides) under soil metagenome. Its description in RNAcentral is "partial contains 5.8S ribosomal RNA, internal transcribed spacer 2, and large subunit ribosomal RNA". The record is from RNAcentral.